Lytechinus pictus (painted urchin) is the source of this 240-nucleotide long non-coding RNA. RefSeq lists it as uncharacterized. NCBI's taxonomy places the organism in Eukaryota, Metazoa, Echinodermata, Echinoidea, Temnopleuroida, Toxopneustidae. The transcript is spliced from 4 exons. The record is from RefSeq and is a predicted model, not a curated record.
AGCUCACGACGAAGUGCUCCAUGGAGUUCUUACACACGUUUCUGAACAAAUGACAAAGGCUUUUAGAAUCAAUGAGAUGAAAGAUGAGAUGCUUAAUCGGCUGAACGUGAUGCAGCAAAGAAUCGAAAGCAACGAGCAAGUGGUACCUGAAGACCAAUUGGAGGGCAUGAAAGCCAUAGAGAUUGAGAAAUGUAAGAUGGAGAUAAGAGCAAUCAAGGACGAACUACUUGCAGCAAAAAG